CAAUAGCGUAUAUUAAAGUUGUUGCAGUUAAAAAGCUCGUAGUUGGAUUUGUGGCGUACGGUGUGUUCCGGGCACUUGUUGUCUGAGUAACCUGCUGUUGCCAUCCUUGGGUGGAACCUGUGUGGCAUUAGGUUGUCGUGCAGGGGAUGCCCAUCAUUUACUGUGAAAAAAUUAGAGUGUUCAAAGCAGGCUUAUGCCGUUGAAUAUAUUAGCAUGGAAUAAUGAGAUAGGACUUUUUUGCUAUUUUGUUGGUUUGCGCAAAGAGGUAAUGAUUAAUAGGGACAGUUGGGGGUAUUCGUAUUCCAUUGUCAGAGGUGAAAUUCUUGGAUUUUUGGAAGACGAACUACUGCGAAAGCAUUUACCAAGGAUGUUUNCAUUAA
This 380-nucleotide ribosomal RNA is filed under the name uncultured eukaryote. Its description in RNAcentral is "partial 18S ribosomal RNA". It matches the Rfam family "Eukaryotic small subunit ribosomal RNA", at positions 592 to 976 of the family's 1831-position model. The record is from RNAcentral.